Molecule: ribosomal RNA, 1458 nt
Filed under: Priestia flexa
Lineage: Bacteria; Bacillati; Bacillota; Bacilli; Caryophanales; Bacillaceae
Description: bacterial SSU rRNA
Rfam family: Bacterial small subunit ribosomal RNA
Source: RNAcentral
UAGCAAUGCGGGCUCUAUAAUGCAAGUCGAGCGAACUGAUUAGAAGCUUGCUUCUAUGACGUUAGCGGCGGACGGGUGAGUAACACGUGGGCAACCUGCCUGUAAGACUGGGAUAACUCCGGGAAACCGGAGCUAAUACCGGAUAACAUUUUCUCUUGCAUAAGAGAAAAUUGAAAGAUGGUUUCGGCUAUCACUUACAGAUGGGCCCGCGGUGCAUUAGCUAGUUGGUGAGGUAACGGCUCACCAAGGCAACGAUGCAUAGCCGACCUGAGAGGGUGAUCGGCCACACUGGGACUGAGACACGGCCCAGACUCCUACGGGAGGCAGCAGUAGGGAAUCUUCCGCAAUGGACGAAAGUCUGACGGAGCAACGCCGCGUGAGUGAUGAAGGCUUUCGGGUCGUAAAACUCUGUUGUUAGGGAAGAACAAGUACAAGAGUAACUGCUUGUACCUUGACGGUACCUAACCAGAAAGCCACGGCUAACUACGUGCCAGCAGCCGCGGUAAUACGUAGGUGGCAAGCGUUAUCCGGAAUUAUUGGGCGUAAAGCGCGCGCAGGCGGUUUCUUAAGUCUGAUGUGAAAGCCCACGGCUCAACCGUGGAGGGUCAUUGGAAACUGGGGAACUUGAGUGCAGAAGAGAAAAGCGGAAUUCCACGUGUAGCGGUGAAAUGCGUAGAGAUGUGGAGGAACACCAGUGGCGAAGGCGGCUUUUUGGUCUGUAACUGACGCUGAGGCGCGAAAGCGUGGGGAGCAAACAGGAUUAGAUACCCUGGUAGUCCACGCCGUAAACGAUGAGUGCUAAGUGUUAGAGGGUUUCCGCCCUUUAGUGCUGCAGCUAACGCAUUAAGCACUCCGCCUGGGGAGUACGGUCGCAAGACUGAAACUCAAAGGAAUUGACGGGGGCCCGCACAAGCGGUGGAGCAUGUGGUUUAAUUCGAAGCAACGCGAAGAACCUUACCAGGUCUUGACAUCCUCUGACAACUCUAGAGAUAGAGCGUUCCCCUUCGGGGGACAAAGUGACAGGUGGUGCAUGGUUGUCGUCAGCUCGGGUCCGGAAAUGUUGGGUUAAGUCCCGCAACGAGGGCAACCCUUGAUCUUAGUUGCCAGCAUUUAGUUGGGCACUCUAAGGUGACUGCCGGUGACAAACCGGAAGAAGGUGGGGAUGACGUCAAAUCAUCAUGCCCCUUAUGACCUGGGCUACACACGUGCUACAAUGGAAGGUACAAAGGGUUGCAAAACCCGGGGGUCAGGCCAAUCCCUUAAAACCUUUUCCAGUCGGAAUUGUAGGCCGGCACUCGCCCACAUGAAAUCUGGAACCCUCAAAAUCGCGGAAUAAAUUGCCGCGGGAUACACUUUCCCGGGCCUUGUACACACCCGCCCCUGCAACCCAAGGUUUUAUAACACCCCAGAUUUGGGGGGUAACCUUUGGGGCCCAGCCCCAUAGGGGGCAAUGGUGUA